RNAcentral lists this ribosomal RNA (451 nucleotides) under uncultured bacterium. Its description in RNAcentral is "bacterial SSU rRNA". It matches the Rfam family "Bacterial small subunit ribosomal RNA", at positions 340 to 784 of the family's 1533-position model. The record is from RNAcentral.
UACGGAAGGCAGCAGUGGGGAAUAUUGCACAAUGGGCGCAAGCCUGAUGCAGCCAUGCCGCGUGUAUGAAGAAGGCCUUCGGGUUGUAAAGUACUUUCAGUCGUGAGGAAGGUGUUAAGGUUAAUAACCUUAGCAAUUGACGUUAGCGACAGAAGAAGCACCGGCUAACUCCGUGCCAGCAGCCGCGGUAAUACGGAGGGUGCGAGCGUUAAUCGGAAUUACUGGGCGUAAAGGGCACGCAGGCGGUUAAUUAAGUUGGAUGUGAAAUCCCCGGGCUUAACCUGGGAAUGGCAUUCAAGACUGGUUAGCUAGAGUCUUGUAGAGGGGGUUAGAAUUCCAUGUGUAGCGGUGAAAUGCGUAGAGAUGUGGAGGAAUACCGGUGGCGAAGGCGGCCCCUGGCAAAGACUGACGCUCAUGUGCGAAAGCGUGGGGAGCAAACGAGGAUUAGAUA